Hemicordylus capensis (graceful crag lizard) is the source of this 740-nucleotide long non-coding RNA. RefSeq lists it as uncharacterized. The record is from RefSeq and is a predicted model, not a curated record. Lineage: Eukaryota; Metazoa; Chordata; Lepidosauria; Squamata; Cordylidae. The transcript has 3 exons.
CACGAGAGGCCUGGAAGAAUUGCCUUCCUCCCUCUGGGAUAUCGGUGCAGCUCUCAGUGAGUUAAUAUGUAAACAAAGCAGUAUCUUUUAGUGGACCAGCUUUUUUGGCACUUGUCAUAUAUGGAACCCUCUACCAUCCCAAGACAUCACACACUCCAAUCAGCAAUAGAAAUCUCUAUGCAGAAGCUGGCUUGUGCACAGACCUCCUUAAGAAAAUACGUGCUGUGCCAGAUCAGACCAAAGAUCCAUCAAGUUCAGCAUCCUGUUUCCAACGGCGACCAACCAAACAUCUCUAGAAAGCUCACAAGCAUGACAUGAAGGCAGCAACCCUCCACUCUCCUGGUGCUGAUGCCCUCUAUGAACUGCCUUUGAACAUGGAAGUUCCACAUGUACAGUACCAAGAGGCUGCUGGUACAAUGACCCAGAUGCUGCUGUGCCAACCCUCUGUGAUGGACCAGCCUGAACUGAAGACAGCUGACUUAAACCAUUCUUCUAAAAUUACUUACUCUGCAGUAUGCCAGCAAUAGCUCCAUAGACUUUAGUAGAACUUCAGUGAGACCACAUCACCGGACUAGCAGUUUCUUAUGCAAAGCACACAGCUAACCAAACUACCAUCUUUCAAAAGGGCAAAAACAAACAAACAAACAGUAAAAAUCAGAGCACUGCUGUGUGACUUAAACCAAUUACUUUUCCAUAGCUGCACACGUGUGGGGCCUAAAUAAUUAAACAAGUGAAAGUUU